Molecule: ribosomal RNA, 301 nt
Filed under: uncultured bacterium
Lineage: Bacteria
Description: partial 16S ribosomal RNA
Rfam family: Bacterial small subunit ribosomal RNA
Source: RNAcentral
CAGUCGCCACGGGAAUACGAAGGGGGCUAGCGUUGUUCGGAAUCACUGGGCGUAAAGGGUGCGUAGGCGGAUUCUUAAGUCAGGGGUGAAAUCCCGAGGCUCAACCUCGGAACUGCCUUUGAUACUGGGGAUCUUGAGUCCGGAAGAGGUGAGUGGAACUGCGAGUGUAGAGGUGAAAUUCGUAGAUAUUCGCAAGAACACCGGUGGCGAAGGCGGCUCACUGGUCCGGGACUGACGCUGAGGCACGACAGCGUGGGGAGCAAACAGGAUUAGAUACCCGGGUAGUCCCUGUCUCUUAUAC